GAUGAACGCUGGCGGCGUGCCUAACACAUGCAAGUCGAACGGACUUACAUUGAAGCCUAGCGAUAUGUAAGUUAGUGGCGGACGGGUGAGUAACGCGUGGGUAACCUGCCUUGUACUGGGGGACAACAGUUGGAAACGACUGCUAAUACCGCAUAAGCGCACAGCUUCGCAUGAAGCAGUGUGAAAAACUCCGGUGGUACAAGAUGGACCCGCGUCUGAUUAGCUGGUUGGUGAGGUAACGGCCCACCAAGGCGACGAUCAGUAGCCGGCCUGAGAGGGUGAACGGCCACAUUGGGACUGAGACACGGCCCAAACUCCUACGGGAGGCAGCAGUGGGGAAUAUUGCACAAUGGGGGAAACCCUGAUGCAGCAACGCCGCGUGAGUGAAGAAGUAUUUCGGUAUGUAAAGCUCUAUCAGCAGGAAAGAAAAUGACGGUACCUGACUAAGAAGCCCCGGC
RNAcentral lists this ribosomal RNA (458 nucleotides) under uncultured bacterium. Its description in RNAcentral is "bacterial SSU rRNA". It matches the Rfam family "Bacterial small subunit ribosomal RNA", at positions 28 to 497 of the family's 1533-position model. The record is from RNAcentral.